This 449-nucleotide ribosomal RNA is filed under the name uncultured bacterium. Its description in RNAcentral is "partial 16S ribosomal RNA". It matches the Rfam family "Bacterial small subunit ribosomal RNA", at positions 329 to 792 of the family's 1533-position model. The record is from RNAcentral.
GUCCAGACUCCUACGGGAGGCAGCAGUGGGGAAUAUUGGGCAAUGGGCGCAAGCCUGACCCAGCAAUGCCGCGUGAAGGAAGAAGGCCUUCGGGUUGUAAACUUCUUUUAUCAGGGACGAAGGAUGUGACGGUACCUGAUGAAUAAGCUCCGGCUAACUACGUGCCAGCAGCCGCGGUAAUACGUAGGGAGCAAGCGUUAUCCGGAUUUACUGGGUGUAAAGGGCGCGUAGGCGGGAUGGCAAGUCAGAUGUGAAAUCCGAGGGCUCAACCCUUGAACUGCAUUUGAAACUGUCGUUCUUGAGUACUGGAGAGGUUGACGGAAUUCCUAGUGUAGCAGUGAAAUGCGUAGAUAUUAGGAGGAACACCGGUGGCGAAGGCGGCCUGCUGGACGACGACUGACGCUGAGGCUCGAAAGCGUGGGGAGCAAACAGGAUUAGAUACCCUUGUA